Molecule: ribosomal RNA, 468 nt
Filed under: uncultured bacterium
Lineage: Bacteria
Description: partial 16S ribosomal RNA
Rfam family: Bacterial small subunit ribosomal RNA
Source: RNAcentral
GACGAACGCUGGCGGCGUGCUUAACACAUGCAAGUCGAACGGAAAGGCCCUGCUUUUGUGGGGUGCUCGAGUGGCGAACGGGUGAGUAACACGUGAGUAACCUGCCCUUGACUUUGGGAUAACUUCAGGAAACUGGGGCUAAUACCGGAUAGGAGCUCCUGCUGCAUGGUGGGGGUUGGAAAGUUUCGGCGGUUGGGGAUGGACUCGCGGCUUAUCAGCUUGUUGGUGGGGUAGUGGCUUACCAAGGCUUUGACGGGUAGCCGGCCUGAGAGGGUGACCGGCCACCAUGGGACUGCGGUACGGCCCAGACUCCUACGGGAGGCAGCAGUGGGGAAUAUUGCACAAUGGGCGGAAGCCUGAUGCAGCAACGCCGCGUGCGGGAUGACGGCCUUCGGGUUGUAAACCGCUUUCGCCUGUGACGAAGCGUGAGUGACGGUAAUGGGUAAAGAAGCACCGGCUAACUACGUG